UAACAAAAAAUGUUGAAUAAAAGUGAUUUAUUAAGUGAAGCAGUGAUUCUUAUGCGCCUCUCCCCACCGUCCGAUCCAUAUCUCUGACCCCAAUCUCCAGCCGUUCAUCUCUAUAUUUCACUCCUCGCUCGUGUUAUAAAAUACACAUUCACAUUCUCAACUCCACCUCCAUUUCAUUUCCGCCCCAACUCACUCCCUCUCUCCCUCUCUCUAAUUCACUCAUAAUACACAGAUAUGAAUAAACUGGGAACAUAAAAUUUCUUCGGUGCUUGGUAGAACACAGAGCUAAAAGCUAAGUCGGUUACAAGAGUCUCACUAUUAAUAUUAUGAGCACAGUGAGCAACCGUCUGUCAAAAGUUGAUAACUGGCAAAGAAUCAGUUUCAGCCCCUGCUUCAUUUAAGCAACAAUAAGUUUGACAAAUAAUCAGUUUCAGCACUGCUUGAACUUUAAGCAACAAUAAGCGGUGUCUAAGUUCUAUGUUUAGUAACCUCGCAGUCUUGCUCCCAAGCCUAACACAACUUGUAGUCUUGCACUCGGCGCAGCAGCCAAUACUCGAGCUUGCUCAUCCUUGGCCCGAGUGGGUCCAACUCAUGAAGUGCUUGCUCGACAAGGGAUACUUCUGUAGUGAAGAGGGAAAAAUGUUAUGCAAUGCUGGUAUGGGCAUGAAGGAUUUCAAUGUCAUUAGAACCGUGUGCCUCAAUUUUGGUAGAGACCACUUUCAUCUUUUAAGGUUUGGCCGUGAUUUAGAACUCUGGGACAGACUGUGAUAUUCAAUUGGACAAGAACCUAGGCUUGAUUUAUACCAUUUUUAUAUUUCAUAUUUGAGUUUGUACCUUAAUGGAAGCUUAUUUUUACGGUUAAGAAACGAUGGAGUAUGGUUCCUUAUUAUUGGCAAAAUUCCUCUUAAUUACAUAGUUUGGAGCGUAGGUUUUAUUAUGAUAAUUUUAUUCUUAUAUUGUGUCUGCUGGACAGGAGAUUUCAUAGAUAAAGGAGGGUAUUUCAACAAAUAAUGCAUGCUGGGAAAUUGGAGAAUCACCAGUUAAGUUAGUGGGUUGAACAUUAGUUAAUGACCUUUUUGGAAACCUAUUCUGUUCAUAUUGUUUUUAUUGGUCUAAAAUUUCCCAUGUAGCCUUCAUUGUGUAAGAUUGAAAUAACUAAUUCUCCUCUCCAGAGAAUCUCACUUUCAUGCUAGAGAUGUCAUUUUUGGUUCUCCGAGUUGUGUAAUGGGAGAAGGUAAAGGAAUUGGAUUGGCUAAGUGGAAAUUUAAUUUUAUAUAUAUACAUGAGACUUGCCAUUAUAUUAUUCAAAUGUGAAUAACAAGGAAGAUCUAUUUGAUUAGAAAAUGGGAAAUUUUGGGUCU
Glycine soja is the source of this 1361-nucleotide long non-coding RNA. RefSeq lists it as uncharacterized. Lineage: Eukaryota; Viridiplantae; Streptophyta; Magnoliopsida; Fabales; Fabaceae. The transcript has 5 exons. The record is from RefSeq and is a predicted model, not a curated record.